GGGUCAGUAGGUUGGUCGUGCCACCGGUACGUACUGGUCUCACUGAUUCCUCCUUCCUGAAGAACCGUAAUGCCAUUAAUUUGGUGUUGCGGGGAAACAGGACUGUUACUUUGAAAAAAUUAGAGUGUUAAAAGCAAGCUAACGCUUGAAUACAUUAGCAUGGAAUAAUGAAAUAGGACGAUCGAUCCUAUUUUGUUGGUUUCUAGGAUUGACGUA
Molecule: ribosomal RNA, 216 nt
Filed under: Glomeromycotina sp.
Lineage: Eukaryota; Fungi; Glomeromycota
Description: partial small subunit ribosomal RNA
Rfam family: Eukaryotic small subunit ribosomal RNA (bases 40-216)
Source: RNAcentral